Molecule: non-coding RNA, 76 nt
Organism: Endozoicomonas montiporae
Lineage: Bacteria; Pseudomonadati; Pseudomonadota; Gammaproteobacteria; Oceanospirillales; Endozoicomonadaceae
Source: Rfam
GGCGGCGGACCCGCCGAAGUCGGCUGUCGGAAGCAGGCUUCAAANCUUAAUGGAAAUCGCAACUGACCCGGAAGGU